Non-coding RNA from Vicugna pacos (alpaca), 2787 nucleotides. The record is from RefSeq and is a predicted model, not a curated record. NCBI's taxonomy places the organism in Eukaryota, Metazoa, Chordata, Mammalia, Artiodactyla, Camelidae.
CGUGAGCCCCCUCCCCAGCGCUGUUGGAAGCCACACCUCUUUCAGGAAGGGAGGGGUGACGGCUGAGACUGCUUCCUCACGCACAAACCUGAGCUUGGUGGUGACUGACUCCUGGCUGGACUUGACCGUCAUGGCCACAUACAGCUUUUUAUAUGAGAUAACUUAACAGGUGUCCAGGCUCCUGGGAGCAUGGCUGGCUGUGCCCGCACCCACCUUCCCCAGGAGACCCCAGGGGUGGACCCCGGUGCUCUGCCUUGGCGGGCUGCCCUCAGUAACUGCACCCCUCCCCCCAGGUCACCAGCAUUUGUGGAACCAAAGGACAGUGCAGGUCAGUGGGGGGAAAGGUCACCUUGGGUGGCUCCUGCCAUGUGGCCUCAGGCAAACAUCCCUCCCCGUGCCUCAGCUUCCUGGGGGAUGAAUUGGGGCCCUGCCUCCCUCCAGAGUGGUUGUGAGGGGACAGGUGGGGACAGGUGUCAGAGUGCUUUGAAAACUCAUCUCCACAAACAGGGGAGUACUGAGAGGCGCCCGUGUCUGGUCCUGGUUUUCUGAAGCUGUUUUCCUUACAGACUUUAAAGCACAUGAUUCCUCCAAAUACAAACCAGAACAGUAGUGUGAGCUGACUACACUUAAGUCCUCAGUGAGCAAACCUUUAACUGGAGCCCCAUAGUGAGCAGCGUCGUAAUCUGGCCUCGGCGUGCCCACCACCCACUCUGGCUCAGGCCAGCCCUCGGUCCUCCCUGGACCGUCUCACUAGCAAAGGGUCUCAGAGAAGGGAGGGAUCAGACAUGGCUUGUGAGAAGGAGCCAAGCGCCCCCACUGGGGGUGAACUACAGAUUUGGCCGGAAGCUUCCUGGCAGCCACUGGGAAAGGAGAAAACUGUCACACAUUCUCUUAAACAAAAGCAAACUGACUUCUCAGGAAAUGGUUCCCUCUUACAGGAAAACCAUUGCAGUGUCUCCCAGACGUGACAGGAAGGGACCGGCUAGAGGAGACGUCUCGGGACGCUUGUCUCCAUGCUCUGCACAUUCCACCAACACCAAGGAAAGUCCUUCCCAGGGGCGGCAGGCAGUGAGGGUCCCAGGGCACAGAGAACCAGAGAGUUCGUCAGCUGUGCAGCUGGUCCUGUGGACAGACAGGAGGGAGGGAGGGAACUGAGCCCCGAGGGCACACUGAGUCCCCUGCUCAGAGGCCCUGGCAGGGCAGCUAUGACCUUGGAAGACACAUUCCAACACAGGAGGAACAUGAGUCUUUCUGCCCUUUACUGACAUUUAUGAGAAUUCCUGAUUAAAACACUGCCCUUAGGGCCGGGAACCUGGGCAAGCAAGACACAUAAGGUGGCCUUUAGUUUAACUUCAGUAAUCACACCAGGCAUCUUCCCUGUUGGAAUGCUGAUUACUGAUAUUCUAAAACCAAACACAUCACAAACAUCCCCCGGCAAAUAAACGACAGGGCUGUUAUUAACAAUUCUGUUAUUAACAAUUCUCUAUUUAUUAAAAAGGGUCUUAACAGCUUUACAACCACAGCUCAGACACGGCCCUGGAGAUGGUGCGGCCAGGCUGGCAGCCCCGUCCCCACAUCAACGCCGAGCUCACACGUUUGGCUGAGCCCCGUGUGGGCUGUGGGCACUCCGGACAGCGGGGUGGACGGCAGAGGUACGGGGUGGGUGGCACGGCUCUUGAGAUGCAGACGUGGCAGGCCCACCUGAUUGGCAGGGCAGUAAAUUGUCCUUUACUGCUAUUUUCUUUAGAAACAGUUCUGAUACAGUAGAGUUCCAGUCCAGGAGUAGAAAUGUCUGGUAAUUGAGGACAAGGUUGGUGGCCUCGCCCGGGGUCUGCUGGGACAGACCCGUUUGAGCUCUGCCUGUGUUCCAUCACCUGGGCAGUCGAGGCCGGGGCCAGGAAUGCCACAACUCAGCACACAGGCUUUUUUUGUCAACAGGCAGGUGGGCCCUGGGAAUUCACACAAUGGCACAUGUGGACAGAACCCGGAGGGGCAGGAAGAGCCUGGGGCACGGCCAGAGCAUCGGAGCCGGUGGGCACCCUCUAACACCGAGGGGGGGGCUUUCUCCAGACAAGCUGAGACGCUGCUGGUGUCCCUCAGGCCCACCCCCGCCCCACCUGUGCCCCGAGGCCCCGCCAGAGGCGGGCAGGCUUUUCUCCCUCCUUCAACAGCAAACGCAGACAAGCCCCUCCCGGACACUGGGCAGCAGCUGGUGUCAGUGCCCCGCAGCCUGGCCGGCCCCUCCCUGGCACCAGGUGAAGCUAAGGCACAGCACAGGCACCUGCAGUGCGACCCGUGCACUGCUUGCAAGAAAGGAAAUUGCAUUCACUUUAUCUGCAUCUCAAUCUGCUCAGAACAAUAUAUGCAUUUUUUAUAAAGUUUCCCUGAAUGAUCUUAAGUGUCAAAAAAGUUUUCUUUCCCAAUAUAAAACAGGAAAAUUACACACACAGUAAAAAUAUGGGGGAGUUUUUCUUCAUAGAAAGCCUCGGGGGCUGGCUCGAGGUGCAGGAGGAAGAGGAGCUGGGCAGAGUCCAGCUCACACCCGUCUCCUCACCUGGCCACAACUCGCCUGGCUUCUGGGCAUGGCAGUGGGCCAAGUGCAAACUCUGCAGGUAGCUGUGAAGCCUCAGGGUUUAGGGGGAGUGGUGUGGGGGGGUGACAACUCCCCGCACCGAUUUAGUCAGCACCUUCCAGGCUGGCCCACCCGACCGACCCCCACCAGGGGCUGCAGUGGGUGGUGGGCUGGGACACACAGAACCGUUUUGAAAAUAAAGCAGAAAUGAUGAA